GUCAAGGUAUAGUAUAUCUGACUAUGAUAAAUAACAUUUGGGAUGUUUGAGUUUACACGGGUACAUCUGAGUCAAGGUAUGGAAUAUCUGACUAUAAAUAAAAACAUUUCGGAUGUUUGAAUUUACACUGGUACAUUAGUCAAGUUACGGUAUUUCUGAGUAUGGUAACUAACAUUUAGGAUAUUUGAAUCACAUGGGUACAUUAGUCAAGGUAUGGUAUUCCUGACUAUGAUAAAUAGCAUUUAGGAUGUUUGAAUUUACACGGGUACAUAUUAAGUCAAGGUGUGGUAUAUCUGACUAUGAAAAAUAACACUCAGGAUGUUUGAAUUUAAACGGAUACAUUAUUCAAGGUAUGGCAUAUUUGACUAUGAUAAAUAACAUUUUGAUGAUUGAAUUUACAAGGGUACAUUAGUCAAGGUAUGAUAUUUCUGACUAUGAUGAAUAACAUUAAGGAUGUUUGAGUUUACACGGUCGGGUACAUCAGUCAACGUAUGGUAUUGCUGACUAUGAUAAAUAACAUUUAGUACAAUUAAGUUAAAUGUACACGGGUAUUGGUGUUUUAUCAGUACCAAUAUGGUUUCAUGAGUUAAAUCUGAUGCAACGACCAAGAAAUUCAAAGGAGGAUUCUGUUGAAUCAAA
Molecule: long non-coding RNA, 639 nt
Organism: Dreissena polymorpha
Lineage: Eukaryota; Metazoa; Mollusca; Bivalvia; Myida; Dreissenidae
Exons: 2
Source: RefSeq, a predicted model, not a curated record